This 516-nucleotide ribosomal RNA is filed under the name uncultured archaeon. RNAcentral's name for it is "bacterial SSU rRNA". It matches the Rfam family "Archaeal small subunit ribosomal RNA", at positions 325 to 842 of the family's 1478-position model. The record is from RNAcentral.
ACGGGGUGCAGCAGGCGCGAAAACUUUACAAUGCGGGAAACCGCGAUAAGGGGACACUGAGUGCCAGCAUAUUAUGUUGGCUGUCCACAUGUAUAAAAAUCAUGUGUUAGCAAGGGCCGGGCAAGACCGGUGCCAGCCGCCGCGGUAACACCGGCGGCCCGAGUGGUGAUCACUUUUAUUGGGUCUAAAGGGUCCGUAGCCGGUUUGAUCAGUCUUCUGGGAAAUCUGACAGCUCAACUGUUAGGCUUUCAGGGGAUACUGUUAGACUUGGGACCGGGAGAGGUAAGAGGUACUACAGGGGUAGGAGUGAAAUCUUGUAAUCCCUGUGGGACCACCAGUGGCGAAGGCGUCUUACCAGAACGGGUCCGACGGUGAGGGACGAAAGCUGGGGGCACGAACCGGAUUAGAUACCCGGGUAGUCCUAGCUGUAAACGAUGCUCGCUAGGUGUCAGACACGGUGCGACCGUGUUUGGUGCCGCAGGGAAGCCGUUAAGCGAGCCACUUGGAAGUACGUCG